Molecule: ribosomal RNA, 381 nt
Filed under: uncultured eukaryote
Lineage: Eukaryota
Description: partial 18S ribosomal RNA
Rfam family: Eukaryotic small subunit ribosomal RNA
Source: RNAcentral
CAAGAGCGUAUAUUAAAGUUGCUGCAGUUGAAAAGCUCGUAGUCGGAGUUCAGGGUCCGCUGGUUGGUCUGCCGAAAGGUGUGUACUGCCCGGCGGAUUCUUCUUCCCGAAGCGCGCGUCUGCCCUUGAUUGGUGUUUGGCGUUGCACCUCGGGUCGUUUACUUUGAAAAAAUUAGAGUGUUUAAAGCAGGCCACUGCCUUGAAUACAUUAGCAUGGAAUAAUGGAAUAGGACUUUGGUUCUAUUUUGUUGGUUUCUAGGACCGAAGUAAUGAUUAAUAGGGAUAGUUGGGGGCAUCAGUAUUUAAUUGCUAGAGGUGAAAUUCUCAGAUUUAUGAAAGACUCACUAAUGCGAAAGCAUUUGCCAAGGAUAUUCUCAUUGA